UACGUAGGGGGCAAACGUUGCUCGGAAUUACUGGGCGUAAAGGGUGUGUAGGUGGCUGAGCAAGUCAUUGAUGAAAUCCCAUGGCUCAACCAUGGAAUUGUCUCUGAAACUGCUCAGCUUGAGGAUAGUUGAAGAAAACGGAAUUCCCGGUGGAGCGGUGAAAUGCGUAGAUAUCGGGAGGAACACCAGAGGCGAAGGCGGUUUUCUAGACUAUUCCUGACACUGAGACACGAAAGCUAGGGGAGCGAACGGGAUUAGAUACCCCCGUA
This 269-nucleotide ribosomal RNA is filed under the name uncultured prokaryote. RNAcentral's name for it is "partial 16S ribosomal RNA". It matches the Rfam family "Bacterial small subunit ribosomal RNA", at positions 524 to 792 of the family's 1533-position model. The record is from RNAcentral.